Molecule: ribosomal RNA, 537 nt
Filed under: fungal sp.
Lineage: Eukaryota; Fungi
Description: eukaryotic LSU rRNA
Rfam family: 5.8S ribosomal RNA (bases 169-322)
Source: RNAcentral
UACCUGCGGAGGGAUCAUUACCGAGUUUACAACUCCCAAACCCCUGUGAACAUACCAAUUGUUGCCUCGGCGGAUCAGCCCGCUCCCGGUAAAACGGGACGGCCCGCCAGAGGACCCCUAAACUCUGUUUCUAUAUGUAACUUCUGAGUAAAACCAUAAAUAAAUCAAAACUUUCAACAACGGAUCUCUUGGUUCUGGCAUCGAUGAAGAACGCAGCAAAAUGCGAUAAGUAAUGUGAAUUGCAGAAUUCAGUGAAUCAUCGAAUCUUUGAACGCACAUUGCGCCCGCCAGUAUUCUGGCGGGCAUGCCUGUUCGAGCGUCAUUUCAACCCUCAAGCCCAGCUUGGUGUUGGGACUCGCGAGUCAAAUCGCGUUCCCCAAAUUGAUUGGCGGUCACGUCGAGCUUCCAUAGCGUAGUAGUAAAACCCUCGUUACUGGUAAUCGUCGCGGCCACGCCGUUAAACCCCAACUUCUGAAUGUUGACCUCGGAUCAGGUAGGAAUACCCGCUGAACUUAAGCAUAUCAAUAAGCGGAGGAA